GGGGGUAGCUCAGUGGUAGAGCAUGUUCUUAGCAGGCACGAGGUCCUGGGUUCAAUCCCCAGUACCUCCA
Molecule: transfer RNA, 70 nt
Filed under: Camelus bactrianus (Bactrian camel)
Lineage: Eukaryota; Metazoa; Chordata; Mammalia; Artiodactyla; Camelidae
Also listed under: 2 other names
Rfam family: tRNA
About the family: Transfer RNA (tRNA) molecules are approximately 80 nucleotides in length. Their secondary structure includes four short double-helical elements and three loops (D, anti-codon, and T loops).
Source: Rfam by way of RNAcentral